Molecule: ribosomal RNA, 510 nt
Filed under: uncultured bacterium
Lineage: Bacteria
Description: bacterial SSU rRNA
Rfam family: Bacterial small subunit ribosomal RNA
Source: RNAcentral
GUCGAGCGGAGAUGAGGUGCUUGCACCUUAUCUUAGCGGCGGACGGGUGAGUAAUGCUUAGGAAUCUGCCUAUUAGUGGGGGACAACAUUCCGAAAGGGAUGCUAAUACCGCAUACGUCCUACGGGAGAAAGCAGGGGAUCUUCGGACCUUGCGCUAAUAGAUGAGCCUAAGUCGGAUUAGCUAGUUGGUGGGGUAAAGGCCUACCAAGGCGACGAUCUGUAGCGGGUCUGAGAGGAUGAUCCGCCACACUGGGACUGAGACACGGCCCAGACUCCUACGGGAGGCAGCAGUGGGGAAUAUUGGACAAUGGGGGGAACCCUGAUCCAGCCAUGCCGCGUGUGUGAAGAAGGCCUUAUGGUUGUAAAGCACUUUAAGCGAGGAGGAGGCUACUGAGACUAAUACUCUUGGAUAGUGGACGUUACUCGCAGAAUAAGCACCGGCUAACUCUGUGCCAGCAGCCGCGGUAAUACAGAGGGUGCGAGCGUUAAUCGGAUUUACUGGGCGUAAAG